This is a long non-coding RNA of Gadus chalcogrammus (walleye pollock), 4945 nucleotides long. RefSeq lists it as uncharacterized. The transcript has 8 exons. The record is from RefSeq and is a predicted model, not a curated record. NCBI's taxonomy places the organism in Eukaryota, Metazoa, Chordata, Actinopteri, Gadiformes, Gadidae.
GUGUCGUGACACGCCCCCAUUUGGAGAGGGGUCUGGCUGCAGACAUCCACCCACACACUCCAGACAUCCACCCACAGAACUUCCGCUGCAGACAGAAACAUCCACCAGUACACCGAAAUUGAAAAAAAAAAGAAAUGUUGUUUUGCACUGCGCAAGCGCGAGUUGCACAUUAUGCAACAGCGCCCCCUCGGGUCACACUUUUCGUUGGGUCGCAGAAUUCGGUGUAACAACGGGACUCACUGCACGAAGAUGUGACACGUUCGGGUCAGCUGCACUUGGAAGUUAUGGUAGGUGACUAUUCAAAACAGCGAUACAGUUAUAAAUGCACUAGACUUGCAUUUCUUUACCGAUGUAUUAGUUUCAUUUAGUUUAGAUUUUUUCAUCAAACAAAUAACAGAACGUUUCACCAAUAUGAAGCAUUUGUUGUUUUAAUCCACACUGACGGUGGCAAACGUGUCAUUUUUGCAAGAUAGGCAAAUGUUUUUUGUAAACGUUGUGUAGCCUAUAGUCUGUCUUAUUAAACGAUUUUACAGAUUUGUAGAUGUGUUGCGAGUGUAAACGAUUUUAUGAUGUGGACUUUUGAGUCAUCUGUAGUCCAAAACAGAGUUAAGUUGUAAUAAAGUAAUUAGCACGAAUUGAAUUGACGCGGCUCGUUUCGCUUUAAAUAGAGUUGCACCUGUCAGCUGUUCAUCUCUGCAGAGGUGGCUGAGAAGUGUGAUAUCAUUCAAUAGACAGAAUCGAUCUUUAAAUAUUCGAUCUGCCUGUUUAGUUCAUACAAUCUGUUUAUAACUAAGAGAUCAUAACACCUAGUUCAGUUACAAGGGGUAAAAGAGAUGAAAAAUGUAAUAAAAAGGAUAAAAGUUAAUGAAUUACUGUUAUGUAAUAGCCUACUAUCCUGUCUCAGAUUCUAUUUUAGCAACCUUUGUCAGUCUCUCAGCCCUGGGCCAUGGAAAAAGAUGACUGGUUUGGACAUCGAGGUAAAUAUAUUGUUGUUUAAUGAUACUGUGAAACUAGAAGUACAAAUACUAACUCAUUUCUGACAUGAUAGGGCUUUCCACGGCAAAAGUACGGCAUCGACUGUGGCAUCUUCAUGUUGAUGUAUGCCCUUUACAAAGUGAUGGAUGCACCCUUUGACUUCACUGUUACUGAUAUGCCGGCAUUGAGAAAAUGGUGGUGUAUCAUGCUGAUCGAACAUUUUGACCUUGGAAGCCAUGGCAAACUCUUUGCCCACUGGACCGACGCAUCUAAGGCUCUUCUUCGGGGUUAGGUGCCACCAGUUUUUAAACUGAAGAAGAGAAGGCAAGAUGACAUUCAUGAGGGGCUACUUGACAACAUCGUGGCUGGAGUUGCCUGGCUGCAUCAGAAUGCAGGUUUGCUCAGGGGGAAGGUGGUCAAGCCCUCGUUUCAGAAUAUGGACGCAACAGAACAGCAGGAGCUCCUGGAAAGGAUACGUUUUUCGAAUGAUGAAGAAGAAAAGUAUCCCCUGCUCUUCACCUUUGAUUUUGCGGAAGACAUGGAGGUCUUCCUUAACAUGGCAGCUGAGGAGGAUUUUCGAGUCAACGGCAUGUUCGUGGGUCGCUGGGUGGACACUCAUUGACAUUGCUGUGUGUGUGUGUGUGUGUGUGUGUGUGUGUGUGUGUGUGUGUGUGUGUGUGUGUGUGUGUGUGUGUGUGUGUGUGUGUGUGUGUUGAGGUUCUGAGUUCGGUUAUCUGUUGAGUGUUCUGAAUAAAGUGUUAAAAAGUUUACAAUGUAUUGAUUUUUUAUGACUUUACUUAUUCACUUUGGUUACACACAGAGCUAAGCUAAAACACAGACUUCAGUUUGUUGUAUUUAAAAAUGGGCAAAUAAGGUUGUCCAGCAGCACAAGGUAAGACAAUAUUAUAGACAAUUAGAGCCAGAUAUUAAAUGAAUGAUGGUUCAGAGUAAGAAUUUAGGAAUGCAAAGGUGCUAAUAACAUAUGAUAAAGUGCAGUCGAACCUUAUGAUAUCAGGACAACAGAAUGUAACAUAACUAGACCUAAUAUAAAUAUGUCAGAAAAGGGGAAGCUAUAAAAGAAUUGUUCUAACUAUUCCUGUCCACUCAUACAUAGUUGCUGUAUUUAAAAUAAUUAUUAGCCUCAAUCUCUGAUGCCCUUCAGCUUUACAAUACGAGAAUCAGUUUGUGUCCUAUCAAAUAUUAAAUUGAGAUGAUUGCAGUAUAAGACAGAGGGAAUUCUGAAUAAGAAUUCUGAAUAAGAUGUGUGUAUUUACAGAAAGAGAAGAGCCAUAAGCUCCAGCUUAAAGUCAACAGCGAGUGUCAAGUCUUCUGUCCAAAACGGGAAGCAUUUAUCCGAUUUUAUAACGUAAUUUAUUACGUUCAUUUAUGUAAACACAUUACUUAACGCCCGUUCAUUUAUGUAAACACAUUACGUAACGCCCGAUUUUUAUUUUUUUUUCCAAUUUAUUUAUUUAUUUUUCCAAUUUCCGGUGUGCUUUAAACUUUAAAUGUAUCCAUGAAAUUUAGUUGUUUCUGUCACACAAAUUAAUUAAAUGCUGACUCAUCUAUGUAACAUUUUAUUAUUACGCAGCGCAUUACGGAACGCACUGCUUUUACUGUCAGGGGUGCGGUCAGAAUAUGGCCGGUAAUAGUGCAUUUGUAAGCGGGUCAACAACGUUUCGUAUCGAAACAUUAAAAAAGCAUAUGUCUAAAUAACAUGACGUGACAAGUGUGUAGAGAGUGGCCCCUCUCCCAGCUGCAUUAGAUAUAGAUAUAUAUAUAAUUAUAUUAGGGUUAAAAGUUGGGGUUCCACCAAUGGUAGAACUAUCUGAGUGAAGAAACGGCCUGUGGUUCACAUUGACAACAUAUUAGGUGAUAUCAUGAUACUAUUAACAGAUAUUCUAGUAAUUUCAUCUAAUAUAGGCUAUUUGGAUUAACUUUACUUAUCAAUAGUAGAUUCUGCCUAAGGUGGGAUGAGUGGGUGGAGGCUAUUCUACGUAUGUGUGGGUCCAGUGCCUAUUGGUCAGGAGGCUAUGACACAGGGUCUUAGGCGUGAAUGUAUGCAGAUGGGCGUCUAUCAUGUGUAAAUAUCCGGCCCAAUUGUAUGAAUGAGUACAACCUCUGACCCGAACGUCAGACACGCUAUUCUAAGAUAGUAAACGCGUCGUAGCAGCUGGAAGAAAAAAAAAGAAACAGCGACCCGUCCUGCACUAAUAUGCCGACUGACUGUAAGUAUUCAUAUGGGUGCAUUAUAUUAUGAUUAUAUUAUGACUAUGUCUAUGUGUAUCAGCUGUUUAUAUCUGACUGAAGCAGUGAUCACUCCGCAGUGAUUCAUGGGGCCGGCGGUGAGACUGUGAAACAGCCGGAACCACGUGCAAGUUCGCAUGAUAUUCGGCUCAACAAUCAAAGACCGAUUCUAGCCGAACAGACCAAUGCGGGGGCAAGCGGUAGUUUUGUACCUAUCGUGGAUAGUGUGAAACAGCGAACCCCUGGAGCAAGUCGUCUAUCGAAGAAAAAUCUGAAAAGACCGGGGUUAGGGUUGGCUCUACCCUGCUCCCCACUGGCCAUAGAUCCCUUAUAAAAAGGCUUGCAACGCACAUAGUGUUUUAACCCCAGAGAAUUUUAACCUGGUUAUCCAGGCAGUCAUAAACCCUAAAAUCGCGCAGCAAGGGAGUGUAUGGUCUGAGUCCAAACAACAAGUGAUCGGGACGGUGGAUGUGCAUGUGUCUGCGUCGCCUACAGAGACCGUCACAGUGCAGCCAGAUGGGACCAUACAACACGUCACUGGAGACCCCCAGUGUGCGCCACUACCAGUGCUGACCGCCGAUGAUUUGGAGGGUCUUGACGACCUCUCGUCGUGGACCUCAUCGCUGUUGGACCAGAUCGACUUCACUCCAGCUCAGUGGAUCGACCCUACGUCCGUAGGGGCUACCACCAGUGCAGAGCCUGUACAACACCACCAGCCUGCAGACCCUGCAUCUGGAUCCCUACACACCAUUCAAGACCCUAGCCACGACCCUCCGUGCAUUGUGAGUCCCAACGCUCAUGAGGCAGCGGCGACGCUGCUACCAGUCGGCACAGCGGUUGUUGUUGAUGAACACAUUGUGGGUGGGCGCUGUGUUAAAGGGGUAGUUCGGAAUUUUGGACAUAGGGCCUGAUUCCGAAGUGAGCAUUGGUAUUCUAUAUCACUGGAGACAGUUUUCAACACAUUUCAUUCAGUCCUUCUAGUUGCAGAGUUCGCUCGUGCUAGGCUAGCGCAAGUCAACGGGCAAUGCUAGCCUGCUAUUAAAAACAGUCUUACCCACUCCACAGUACACCCGAGGUAAAUCAAUUAUAACGCCAGACUAUAGAUUUAAAUGUCUGUGUUGAUAGAAUAAUGUUAGAAAUAAAACUAACCAUGCAUCGCAUGAAUCAUCGAGGGACUACUUUCUCAGCAGAAGCGGAAUUCUACUAUGCGCUGGUUAGGUUUGUAACCGAAUCACGACAGAAGAACGUAAACAGAGAAGCGUGGGACAGAAGCGCAAUUGAACGACUAGGCAACAUGAUGGUUCAGUGUGCUUUUAGAAAUUGUAGAAAUAAACGGUACAGAUGGGCACCACAAAGUUUCCACCAAUUUCCAGUGCGAGAUCCAGAAAGAACUCAACUGUUGCUUGUUGCUGCUGGCUUUGACAUCAAAACACCGGCUCGUACGGUUCGUUGGAUACAACAAAUUCCUCAUAAUCGUCUUCAAAAGCAGAUGCAUCGCUAACUCCUCCAAACGUGGCCAUAUCUUGUUAAUUUAAUACGCUUGUAGAAUUCCUUCGUUCACUGUACUCUGCAUUUGUAGCAAUGACAGCGGCAGGUAACCUGGGUAUCAGUCCGCCGCUGCCGUAGCCUACGUACAGGAAUAUAAACACUGCUGCUGAGACCCCGCAAUUCCCUCAAAAUGCAAUGCAAUGCAAGGUUGGUUUUAUUUCUAACAUUAUUCUAU